GGAGGGAAGAAUGCCGGGGGUCUAUUUGGAAACAGCCUCUCUAUCCAAGGGUAGGGGUAAGGCCUGCGUACACACUACCCUCUCCAGAUCUCACUAAGUGGGAUUAUACUGGGUUGUUGUUGUUGCCUUAGCAGGGGUAGUUAUGAGGUAACCGUGCUAUUAAGAGGUAACAGAAUCGUCGAGAUAAGUCCAAACUGGUGCGGACGGCACUCUUAUAUAUAUAUUAUAUAUACUAUAAUAUAAAUUUAGCAUGUAACUGAUAUAGUCCCCUCCCCUUCUCACUCUCAUGUUAUCAAUUAUAGAAAACCCCUACAAUCACGUUUUCAUCACAUUUUUAGAAAGAUUUCAAAAUAUCCCUUUCUCUUUCAUAUAAAUCAACCCAAACCUCUGCCAGUUCAUACAAUAUAUCGACAUUAUCUCUAAAAUUUCAGCAUGAAAAGGUAAUUAAAAAGUUUCGAAGCUUUUAAUUUAAUAUUCAGGUUUUAUGAAUUCGUGAGUUGCUUGGAUUGAGUGUUCUUGUAAAUGUUUGAAAAUAUACGUUGGAGUUUAUAUUUUAAUUUUGAGGGAGAUUGGUUAAGUUCAAAAUUGUUUUUAGUUAAAGUUUUCAGAUUGAAACUCAAUGAAGAAAUAAGUUUUAGAAUUGUAUCACGUUUGUAUACUAAUUGUAUCAAUAUUCGUAUUUUACGAAUUUGUGAUUUGUUUGGAUUGGGUUUUCUUCCAAACGGUUGAGAAUAUACUUUAGAAUUUAUAUCUCAAUUUUGAGAGAAUUUGGUUAAGUUUAGAGUUGAUUUUAGGUAAAAUUUCAGAUUGAAAGAAGAGAAGGAAGAAGAAGAAGAAGAAGUUAAGAAUUGAAUUAGGAUUGUAUGAUAAUUAUAUCACAAUUGCAUUAAAAUUCUUUGAGGACUAUAUCAUAAUUGUAUUAUAGUUGUAUCUGAUGCAUCAAUACAUGAAAUAAUACUUGAUAGAAUAUUAAUACAAAUUUAAUACAAUAUUUGUAUCAAAUUUUUAUUGGUUUGUAUGUUUUUUUGUAUAUGAUUUGUUCUUCCUCCUCGAUUUUUAAUCUGGAAAUAAAAUUAUGAUUAUUGCUGGUUUUGUGCUGGUUUUUAUGGAGUUUGCUGCUGGUUUUAGGUGGAAUUUCAUAUUGAAACUUGAAAAGGAAGAAGUUCGUAAUUAUAUCACAUUUAUAUAAGAAUUGUGUU
This 1199-nucleotide long non-coding RNA is filed under the name Nicotiana benthamiana. RNAcentral describes it as "long non-coding RNA (NBEN_LNC002952)". The record is from RNAcentral. Lineage: Eukaryota; Viridiplantae; Streptophyta; Magnoliopsida; Solanales; Solanaceae.